CUGUAGUCUGCAACCCGACUACACGAAGCUGGAAUCGCUAGUAAUCGCGGAUCAGAAUGUCGCGGUGAAUACGUUCCCGGGCCUUGUACACACCGCCCGUCACACCAUGGGAGCCGGUAAUGCCCGAAGUCAGUAGCCUAACCGCAAGGAGGGCGCUGCCGAAGGUAGGAUUGGCGACUGGGGUGAAGUCGUAACAAGGUAAC
Molecule: ribosomal RNA, 203 nt
Filed under: uncultured bacterium
Lineage: Bacteria
Description: partial 16S ribosomal RNA
Rfam family: Bacterial small subunit ribosomal RNA
Source: RNAcentral